Molecule: ribosomal RNA, 192 nt
Filed under: Triticum aestivum (bread wheat)
Lineage: Eukaryota; Viridiplantae; Streptophyta; Magnoliopsida; Poales; Poaceae
Description: partial small subunit ribosomal RNA
Source: RNAcentral
AUGUUAUGUCCGUCUUUAAAAUUCCUAAAAAAAAUUGCUAAGGAAUCAUUGACGCGAUGUCGCAAUUUUGAUGGGGUGACGAUGACAAUCAGAAGAGGAUGCAUUGGAUGGCGUGGUGGAAGAUGUGUGUCCCAAAAGACCAAGGAGGCAUGGGCUUCCGAGAUAUACAUUGUUUCAAUCUGGCUUUGCUAG